GUGACUUAAAUACCUACAAUUGCAGUUUAUUUGUAUUCUAUUUUAUACGCUAUGCGAUAUCAUAUGCAACUGUACUGCACUGUAAAAUGAAUAAGG
Long non-coding RNA from Aricia agestis (brown argus), 96 nucleotides. RefSeq lists it as uncharacterized. The transcript is spliced from 3 exons. Lineage: Eukaryota; Metazoa; Arthropoda; Insecta; Lepidoptera; Lycaenidae. The record is from RefSeq and is a predicted model, not a curated record.